CAGUGGGGAAUAUUGCACAAUGGGCGCAAGCCUGAUGCAGCCAUGCCGCGUGUAUGAAGAAGGCCUUCGGGUUGUAAAGUACUUUCAGCGGGGAGGAAGGUGUUGUGGUUAAUAACCACAGCAAUUGACGUUACCCGCAGAAGAAGCACCGGCUAACUCCGUGCCAGCAGCCGCGGUAAUACGGAGGGUGCAAGCGUUAAUCGGAAUUACUGGGCGUAAAGCGCACGCAGGCGGUCUGUUAAGUCAGAUGUGAAAUCCCCGGGCUCAACCUGGGAACUGCAUCUGAUACUGGCAGGCUUGAGUCUCGUAGAGGGGGGUAGAAUUCCAGGUGUAGCGGUGAAAUGCGUAGAGAUCUGGAGGAAUACCGGUGGCGAAGGCGGCCCCCUGGACGAAGACUGACGCUCAGGUGCGAAAGCGUGGGGAGCAAACAGGAUU
RNAcentral lists this ribosomal RNA (435 nucleotides) under uncultured bacterium. Its description in RNAcentral is "bacterial SSU rRNA". It matches the Rfam family "Bacterial small subunit ribosomal RNA", at positions 352 to 779 of the family's 1533-position model. The record is from RNAcentral.